Molecule: ribosomal RNA, 564 nt
Filed under: uncultured fungus
Lineage: Eukaryota; Fungi
Description: eukaryotic LSU rRNA
Rfam family: 5.8S ribosomal RNA (bases 208-361)
Source: RNAcentral
CGUAACAAGGUCUCCGUAGGUGAACCUGCGGAGGGAUCAUUACACAAAUAUGAAGGCGGGCUGGAACCUCUCGGGGUUACAGCCUUGCUGAAUUAUUCACCCUUGUCUUUUGCGUACUUCUUGUUUCCUUGGUGGGUUCGCCCACCACUAGGACAAACAUAAACCUUUUGUAAUUGCAAUCAGCGUCAGUAACAAAUUAAUAAUUACAACUUUCAACAACGGAUCUCUUGGUUCUGGCAUCGAUGAAGAACGCAGCGAAAUGCGAUAAGUAGUGUGAAUUGCAGAAUUCAGUGAAUCAUCGAAUCUUUGAACGCACAUUGCGCCCUUUGGUAUUCCAAAGGGCAUGCCUGUUCAAGCGUCAUUUGUACCCUCAAGCUUUGCUUGGUGUUGGGCGUCUUGUCUCUAGCUUUGCUGGAGACUCGCCUUAAAGUAAUUGGCAGCCGGCCUACUGGUUUCGGAGCGCAGCACAAGUCGCACUCUCUAUCAGCAAAGGUCUAGCAUCCAUUAAGCCUUUUUUUCAACUUUUGACCUCGGAUCAGGUAGGGAUACCCGCUGAACUUAAGC